AAGUCGUAACAAGGUGAACCUGCGAAAGGAUCAUUAACACGUAUCCAACGUUAAAACCCCCCGUUUCAGGGACUUCUGCGAAGAGUGUGCUAGCGCGAGGCAAGUGCUGGCAUCCUUGUCUGAAAGUGUCAAGGGUGGCGCAGUCACGAUCGCUAGAGGCCGACACGGCCGGCGACCGGGUCACCGGGCUCACGCCCCUUAAUAACCUUUGCAUGAAAACGGGCCUGCGCUUAAUUGUGCGGCCAUAAACCGAACAACUGUUAACAAUGGAUAUCUUGGUUCUC
This 284-nucleotide unclassified non-coding RNA is filed under the name fungal sp. Its description in RNAcentral is "partial internal transcribed spacer region". Lineage: Eukaryota; Fungi. The record is from RNAcentral.